This 497-nucleotide ribosomal RNA is filed under the name uncultured bacterium. RNAcentral's name for it is "partial 16S ribosomal RNA". It matches the Rfam family "Bacterial small subunit ribosomal RNA", at positions 28 to 507 of the family's 1533-position model. The record is from RNAcentral.
GAUGAACGCUGGCGGCGUGCCUAAUACAUGCAAGUCGAGCGAACGGACGAGAAGCUUGCUUCUCUGAUGUUAGCGGCGGACGGGUGAGUAACACGUGGAUAACCUACCUAUCAGACUGGGAUAACUUCGGGAAACCGGAGCUAAUACCGGAUAAUAUUUUGAACCGCAUGGUUCAAAAGUGAAAGACGGUCUUGCUGUCACUUAUAGAUGGAUCCGCGCUGCAUUAGCUAGUUGGUAAGGUAACGGCUUACCAAGGCAACGAUGCAUAGCCGACCUGAGAGGGUGAUCGGCCACACUGGAACUGAGACACGGUCCAGACUCCUACGGGAGGCAGCAGUAGGGAAUCUUCCGCAAUGGGCGAAAGCCUGACGGAGCAACGCCGCGUGAGUGAUGAAGGUCUUCGGAUCGUAAAACUCUGUUAUUAGGGAAGAACAGAUGUGUAAGUAACUGUGCACAUCUUGACGGUACCUAAUCAGAAAGCCACGGCUAACUACGUG